Pleurotus ostreatoroseus is the source of this 94-nucleotide non-coding RNA. Lineage: Eukaryota; Fungi; Basidiomycota; Agaricomycetes; Agaricales; Pleurotaceae. The record is from the annotation of a GenBank genome assembly.
GGCCGGCUGGCCUAAUGGUCAAGGCGUCAGUUUCCGGUAGCCCCAAAAGCUGUGGAUUAGCUGAAGAUUCUGGGUUCGACUCCCAGGUUGGUCG